AGACUGAUGUGGUCAUGCACGAAUAUUACCUAAUUCGAAUGUUUCGGAUGGUGAAAUUUCGGACCCAAUAUUUGACUGCUCUUCUUUUGCUUCCCCUAAUUGAGCAUCUCUAACAUGGUUACAAGUGCAGAUGGCGUUGGUUCUCUGUGAGCAUAAUAAACAGGAAAAGUAAGAAAGCAAAGUCAGCAAAAGCGAGUACGUCAACCGAUUUAAGCGGCCUCAAUAAGCUGAAUGAUUCCCAAAA
Molecule: long non-coding RNA, 244 nt
Organism: Syzygium oleosum
Lineage: Eukaryota; Viridiplantae; Streptophyta; Magnoliopsida; Myrtales; Myrtaceae
Exons: 2
Source: RefSeq, a predicted model, not a curated record